Molecule: long non-coding RNA, 3308 nt
Filed under: Sus scrofa (pig)
Lineage: Eukaryota; Metazoa; Chordata; Mammalia; Artiodactyla; Suidae
Description: lncRNA (ENSSSCG00000063413.1)
Source: RNAcentral
CCUGGUUUUUAGGGCUACAUCUGCGGCACAUGGAAGUUCCCAAGCUAAGGGUUGAAUCGGAGCUGUAGCCUCUGGCCUAUGCCACAGCCCCGCAAUGCAAGAACCAAGCUGUCUCUGUGACCUAUACCACAGCUCACGGCAACGCCAGAUCCUUAACCCGCUGAGCGGGGCCAGGGAUAGAACCCUCAUCUUCAAGGAUACUGGUCAGGUUCAUAACCCGAUAAGCCACAGUGGGAACUCCUUUAAGUCCUCAGUUUUGUCCACCAAAUAAAACAUGAUUCUCAACCUUUAGCUUUUUUCAGUUGACAGGACUCUCCCCUACCUUGCAGAGCAGACGUGGGGUCAGCGGUCGUCUGGCAUCAUCUGUGCGCAGCAGGCCCAGGUCAACCCCAUGACUGCCCUCGCUGGCCCAUGGGUUGUUGGAAGGGGGCCUGCUUUGCGGACUGUACCACCAAUGGUGGUGGGCACCUGAUCAUGCCCCUGGUGAAGGCAGGCAGAAUGGGAGACCAAGUGUGCGGACAGAUGGGCAGACAUGGGGUGUUUCAAAAAGGCCUGACCUCCCACCCUGGGCCCCUCCUUGCCACACCAGGCCCAGCCCUGAAUCCUGGGCUCUGGGGUUUCCUCUUGGCAGUGAUUUCUUUUAAGGCAGGACAGAAUGUGCUGAAUCAUCCCCCCUCACCACUUGCGGCAGCAACCGAGCCCCCGCGGGCCCCACAGGGGACUAACAGGCUGAGCCUAUCCCAGAGCUGGGAUGGAGCCUGUGCCCCAGCACCUCAAUCGGCUGGACCUGACAAUGCCCAGGAGGAGAAGAAGGGCUCCUGGCAGCCUGGCCCUGGCCCCAGUGUUCUAGAGACGGCAGCCCAGGCGGGGCUGGGGGAGCUCAGUGGGGGAGAAGAGGAAAAAAUGUUCACACCAGUCUACACUUGGCGGGUAACCAGGGAGGUGGGUGCCACCCCAGCUCGAGGGGCCUCCCAGCCACCGUCACCUAGAGACAAGGAUCUGUGACGUGGGAGCUAAGGGCUGGCUCUGGAGAUCCUGCCGGCAUUCAGCUUCCAACACAGCGCUCCACACCCACCACCGGGCAGCACCCAUGCCGGGCCUAUCUCUGCUGCCAGGGUGCAGACGUGGGGCUGCCAGGUACCCAGGCCUCUCGAGACACCUGCAGGUUUUGGGCACGUCUGGGGCUAGAUCCCACUCCAACUCUUAUGAGCUGUUAGUCUGCUGCCAACCACCCACCCUAACUCUCAGGUGCCAGCUCUGUGACAACAGCGCCUACGACAAACGCUUCCGAGAGGACUGAAUGGACUCAGGACGGGGGCACUCGGCAUGGACGCAGGCAUCACCCAGAAUUCUCAGCUGGUGUCCAAGACGAGGAAACAAGACCCUUGGGGACAACCAGGGAAGUCGCCCAGGGUGACGGGGAGGAGCCGCAGAGCACAGGGCACCUCUGGCUGGUGGUCCCUGAAGGGAUGGACAGAGUGGUUUGGAACCCGAGAGGCACUGCAGGCAGGACCCCUGGCUGAUCCCACACCUGUAGGGAUCAGGAGGGGCACUUAGAAGACGGGCUGGGUACAGAUCCCAUUCUCUGGCCUCAGCUCUGGACCCAAGGGAUUCCUAGCUGGCAGCCAGGCUGGGGGCAGCGGGGGAGUGCGGGUGGCGGGCACAGCAGGCACGCCACAUCUCUGCUCAUCCUCACUGAGAGGGCUGGGGCCCAGCCCCUCACCCACCACUGCUGUCCCAGGACCCCUCCCACCCCCUCCACACCCACCACCAGGGCAGCACCCACACCGGGCCCAUGUCUGGUGGGCAGCACCCACAGCAAGGCCACCUGCUGCCCCUCGCUCCUGACUGCCCUUAGAACCUGGUGUGUGGCCUUCCAGGUGGGAGCUACUCCUCCAGCGGGUCUGGCAGCACUGGCAGCUGCCUCAGCAGCAGCAGGGAGGGGUGGCCUUCCUGCCAGACGGCCCCAUUUCCCGGGAGCCAAGGGAAGGCUGGGCACACCCAAGCGUCAGCCUCCUGUCCCAGUGCUCUGUCACAACCUCACCCCUGAGACCACAGCACCCACGCCGUGGACCAGGGAGGACCGAAGGAACAAGCCCGUGCGGCCCUCAGCCAGGCUCAAGAAAAGCGUGAUCUCGACCGCGGAGGCUGAACCCUUCCAGGAAGGGCUGGUCCAGGGCCCCUGCCGCCUGAAGCAUCCUGAACCCAUUCUCACCCCCCUUCACCCCACCGACCUCAUACAAAAGCUGACUCUGAACCCAGCCUCUCACUUGAUCUCUUCCACUCAGCCACUAUGAGGAAUGUAAUUUUUAUUCCUGUUUUCCAGAUGGGAAAGCUGAAGUUCAGGUCAAGCCUGCAAGAGUCAGAACCAAAAGUCAAUGUCUGCUUCCCUUCCAUGUCCCCAGAAGGAAGGGCAGUCUUGGAAAAGGGGCUCAAUGGGUCCCGCUGACCUGUCCCCCUACCUGGCCCACUUGGAGAAGAACUGCCCUUCAAGGUCCCGGGGAUGGGCAAACACCAGACAAGGUCAAAGCCGCCUGGGCUGGGCAGCCUGAGAUGGGAGGCACCAUCAGGCCCCAGAGGUGACCAGUCCAGCUUCCUAAGUUCCCAGGGACUCAACGAGGAAACUCCAAUGUUCCAUUUGAAGCCCAAGAUAUUUGGCCGGCCAGACUUUUCUCCCAAAGAGGAUAAGAGCAGAUAAUAACAAAACAAGGCAGAGACACCUUAAAAGAGAACAGAGCCCCAUUCCCAUCCAGGCUGGCCUUUGUGACAGCAACACCCUAAAUGCACAGAGCUGAUGCCCUCGCCAGGGCCUGCCUGGCCUGCCGGUGUGCAUAUCCCUUUAAGGGCCUCGAAGGCCCGGCUGGAUUUGAUUUAAUAGCUGAAACAUCAGAUUCCAUUCAGAAGCAAUCCCAGCUAAGUAUGAUUGCUUUUGCCGUGUAGAGCUUUCAGCAUUCUUGUCAGCAGCCACUGGGUCAUUGAGGAAAUUAAUUUUUCAGCUCAGGCUGGCUCCUGACGGGGCUCCUGUGACCUGAACUGCACAGGGCUGAGGGCUGGCUCCUCAAGGCUGCAGGAGCCUGGGGUGGGUGUGGGCAGGGAGGGACUGGGCAGAGAAGCACCUUGGAGGCCAGGACCAGCUGGGGCCAGGGUUUUCCUGCAUGACCCUGGCUCUCCCACCCUACCCUGCUUCUCUGAGCCGCUUGGACCCACAUCUCCUGCCUCCCAUGAAUCUGGGGUCCCCAGACAUCACCACCCCAAGGGCCAAGUUGCUGAGGAGGGCUAAGCACCACAAAGAGCACCGAGAUAUGUCC